GAUGAAGAACGUAGCGAAAUGCGAUAAGUAAUGCGAAUUGCAGAAUUCAGUGAGUCAUCGAAUCUUUGAACGCACAUUGCGCCCUGUGGUAUUCCGCAGGGCAUGCCUGUUCGAGCGUCAUUUCAACCCUCAAGCUCUGCUUGGUGUUGGGCCCUGCCCGCUGCGGCCGGCCCUAAAGACAGUGGCGGUGCCGCCUGGCCCUGAGCGUAGUACAUCUCUCGCUCCAGUGCCCGGUGGUAGCCUGCCAGAACCCCAACUCUCGUGGUUGACCUCGGAACAGGUAGGGAUACCCGCUGAACUUAAGCAUAUCAAUAAGCGGAGGA
RNAcentral lists this unclassified non-coding RNA (323 nucleotides) under soil metagenome. RNAcentral's name for it is "partial contains 5.8S ribosomal RNA, internal transcribed spacer 2, and large subunit ribosomal RNA". The stretch from base 1 to 120 matches the Rfam family "5.8S ribosomal RNA", at positions 35 to 154 of the family's 154-position model. The record is from RNAcentral.